This 253-nucleotide ribosomal RNA is filed under the name uncultured bacterium. Its description in RNAcentral is "partial 16S ribosomal RNA". It matches the Rfam family "Bacterial small subunit ribosomal RNA", at positions 524 to 776 of the family's 1533-position model. The record is from RNAcentral.
UACGGAGGGUGCAAGCGUUGCUCGGAAUUAUUGGGCGUAAAGGGCGCGUAGGCGGCCAUGCGUGUCUUCCGUGAAAUCCCUCGGCUUAACUGAGGACGUGCGGAAGAAACUGCAAGGCUCGAGUCCGGGAGAGGGGGGUGGAAUUCCCAGUGUAGCGGUGAAAUGCGUAGAUAUUGGGAGGAACACCCGUGGCGAAGGCGGCUCUCUGGGACGGUACUGACGCUGAGACGCGAAAGCGUGGGGAGCGAACAGG